Molecule: long non-coding RNA, 1002 nt
Organism: Carassius gibelio (silver crucian carp)
Lineage: Eukaryota; Metazoa; Chordata; Actinopteri; Cypriniformes; Cyprinidae
Exons: 4
Source: RefSeq, a predicted model, not a curated record
AACGAGUUGUUUUAUUGCGUCUAUGACUUGAAUCUUAUAAUCAGUUGUAGUGAUGGGAAGUUCGGAUCAUUUUACCGAAUCGGACUUUUGAGUCUCGUUCAGCAAAAUGAACGAAUCUUUUUUCGAGUCAUUUCAAAUGAACGAACAACCAGAAGGUUCAGGAAGAAAAAAAACAAAGUGCUUGCAGUCUGUUUCACAUUAGGAGGCAUUUUGCUGCAUAAUCGAUCCACCACGAACCAUAUGCAACUAUGGAAGCUCAACUUCCAUUAAAUGGACUGAAAACGCUCAAGAGACACUUUGACAAGUGGGCACUGGAUGCUGAGUAUUGAAGGCGAGGUGGUGUGUGAGGGCACUCAGCCCAGUUUCCUGUCCGGCCUUGCCACUCUGUUUGCUGCUUAUUACUAGUUUAAUCUUGAGUAUCAGGAGGAAGCAGUGUGUACCUUGGAGUUCAUUCAAAGGUGCUUUGUGGGCAUAAAUCCAGAGAGAGGACCCAAAGCCAAGGGAAAAGUGCCAUCGAAAUAAAAACAGGACAAGUGAUACAGAAGAAAAUGUGUGGCAGUCAACCCACAUGUUGCCACUCUUCUGUGCAAAUUCCAAUGGAAUUUCUGAAAUUCACACUUUGAAUCCUGGGAUGGAACUUCAUCUGGAGCAUAAUUGUUAUUUGGUUGAUUUUUAUCUGUUUGAUGGAAAGUUUGUAUGACUUCUGCAAGUGCGCGGCUCCUUCCGGUCAGUCAUGCAUCACUUUUUUUUGUAUGACUUGUUUGGCAAUAUUGGUCUAUUCCUUAAUGAUGAUAGCUAUCUGAAAAUGUCUUUGUGGUUUUUAAAGGAUUAGUUCACCCAAAAAUGAAAAUUAAGUCAAUAAUUACUUAUGUCGUUUCACACCCGUAAGAUCUUCGUUCAUCCUCACAACACAUAAUAAGAUGUGGCUCAGUGAAGCGUGCAUUUCUAGCAAGAUCAUUUCUUUUUUUCAAUGCCCAGAAAGCCUCUAAAACAUUUAAAACA